This 863-nucleotide ribosomal RNA is filed under the name uncultured bacterium. RNAcentral describes it as "bacterial SSU rRNA". It matches the Rfam family "Bacterial small subunit ribosomal RNA", at positions 8 to 916 of the family's 1533-position model. The record is from RNAcentral.
AGAGUUUGAUCAUGGCUCAGAACGAACGCUGGCGGCAUGCCUAACACAUGCAAGUCGAACGAGACCUUCGGGUCUAGUGGCGCACGGGUGCGUAACGCGUGGGAAUCUGCCCUUGGGUUCGGAAUAACUCGCCGAAAGGCGUGCUAAUACCGGAUGACGUCGAAAGACCAAAGAUUUAUCGCCCGAGGAUGAGCCCGCGUAGGAUUAGCUAGUUGGUGUGGUAAAGGCGCACCAAGGCGACGAUCCUUAGCUGGUCUGAGAGGAUGAUCAGCCACACUGGGACUGAGACACGGCCCAGACUCCUACGGGAGGCAGCAGUGGGGAAUAUUGGACAAUGGGCGAAAGCCUGAUCCAGCAAUGCCGCGUGAGUGAUGAAGGCCUUAGGGUUGUAGAGCUCUUUUACCCGGGAUGAUAAUGACAGUACCGGGAGAAUAAGCCCCGGCUAACUCCGUGCCAGCAGCCGCGGUAAUACGGAGGGGGCUAGCGUUGUUCGGAAUUACUGGGCGUAAAGCGCACGUAGGCGGCUUUGUAAGUCAGAGGUGAAAGCCUGGAGCUCAACUCCAGAACUGCCUUUGAGACUGCAUCGCUCGAAUCCAGGAGAGGUGAGUGGAAUUCCGAGUGUAGAGGUGAAAUUCGUAGAUAUUCGGAAGAACACCAGUGGCGAAGGCGGCUCACUGGACUGGUAUGACGCUGAGGGUGCGAAAGCGUGGGGGAGCAAACAGGAUUAGAUACCCUGGUAGUCCACGCCGUAAACGAUGAUAACUAGCUGUCCGGGUACUUGGUAUUUGGGUGGCGCAGCUAACGCAUUAAGUUAUCCGCCUGGGGAGUACGGUCGCAAGAUUAAAACUCAAAUGAAUUGACGG